Non-coding RNA from Paramuricea clavata, 293 nucleotides. The record is from the annotation of a GenBank genome assembly. Lineage: Eukaryota; Metazoa; Cnidaria; Anthozoa; Malacalcyonacea; Plexauridae.
AGGAAUAUAAAAACUUUCUACUUUAUAUAACCAGGAAUAAUCUACUACUUCAGAUCUCUUCUACUUUAUCUCGAAUAUUUAUAUAUUAGUUUUAUUUUCUUGUGUUUGAUUGAUUAUUUGUUAUUCUAUACUAAAUAAAUUGAGAGCUAAAUCGGCUUACAUUACUCUGACAUUGCGGCAACCAGCUCGAAAGCUUUGCUCCUCUGGCUGUCGCUCACUACUACUUUUUUGGUUUGAAAUUUCAUAUAUUUAAUUAUCUUUAACUCCUACAAUAUACUUUAUUUUUCUUCCUG